Non-coding RNA from Misgurnus anguillicaudatus (oriental weatherfish), 1336 nucleotides. The record is from RefSeq and is a predicted model, not a curated record. NCBI's taxonomy places the organism in Eukaryota, Metazoa, Chordata, Actinopteri, Cypriniformes, Cobitidae.
AAAGGUUCUGAAAUGAUGAUAAUGGUUCUAUAUAGAACCAUAGCUUACUGAAGAACCAUUAUUUUGCUAAAAUGGUUCUUUGUCUUGGCAAAAGGGUUCUUUAAUUCCCGCCUUUCUUGAUUUUAAAUUUAGUCAGUUAUUUUCAAGCUGCCUCCUGAUUAUUUUCACCUGUAAAAGCUCUGAAUCAUCAGUCCUGCUGAACUGCCUGCAGACUAACAUCCCAAACAGGUAAGAUAGGAAAAUAAUCAUCAUUUACUGUUAAAAACAUUUUGAAAAUUGAAGUUUUGUGUGUUCUUAUUGUAAUUUAUUUAUUUUAUAACAGGUAAACUUUAUACUGUAAGCUUCAUUCCCUUUAAAGCAGGUAAUCUUCAUAUUGUUUUAAAUGACAGGAGACUCUGCUGUAACAAUGACUUAAUGAUUUGUUAAAGUGUUAUAAAGCAUAUACAUGUAUAUUUUACAUUAAGUUUAUUAAACUAAUUAUGAAAAGAAUGUGGUACAACAUGUGUUUAGUUUUUUUACUGAUAUUUCAGAGUUUUUGUAUGUGAGGUAAUCUUACUGGGAGUGAAGGCAGUGCGUAUGACCGCUUGAUAGACACAUCCUGUAUUUAAAGGUCAACUUUAUACUGUAAGCUUCAUUCCAUUUAUAACAGAGUUUUUAUAUGUGAGGUAAUCUUGCUGGGAGUGAAGGCAGUGCGUAUGACCACUUGAUAUGAGAGACACAUCCUGUUUUUAAAGGUCAAGAUACUGUAAGCUUCAUUCCCUUUAAAGCAGAGUUUUCGUAUGUGAGGUAAUCUUGCUGGGAGUGAAGGCAGUGCGUAUGACCGCUUGAUAUGAAAGACACAUCCUGUUUUUAAAGGUGGAUCAUGAGUGAAGCUCUGCAGGUCUGCCAUUUCCCUUUCUUAUCUUACUCUUAUCUGACUAAAUGUUCAGCAUCAUUGCAACAAAACAAAGAACAUUGGAUGGAGUAUUGGAGUAUUGGAUGAUCCCGUAAAGAAAAUAAUAUGGACUUUUUUGGUGAGAUUCUACAAAGAUUGACACAAUCCUAUUGACUUUUAUUUUUACAGUUAAUAAUGCAUUAUAAACAUCCCAUUCAUUUGUAUUCUAUGUCAUCGAUCUGUUUGUGCUAAAAUGUAUACAUCUGAAUGUAAUGUCAAUAAUAUGUUAAUAUUCAGGAUUUAUUAUCAUUUGCAUGUUUUGAUGUUGCAUGUCAUGAUUUUAUUGAUUUCAUGUAAUUGUUGUCUAUUUAAAAUGAUUUUAAUUGCCAAAUUUUAUUGUUAAUUUAUUUAAUAUUGAAGCUGUUAUUUAACAUCCAUAUCUUAUUUGAGUAGUGAUUUGUU